GAGGAUGUGGCUCAGUUGGUAGAGCACUUGCCUAGCAUGCAAGAAGCCCUGGGUUCAGUUCUAAAUACCACA
This 72-nucleotide transfer RNA is filed under the name Mus musculus (house mouse). Its description in RNAcentral is "tRNA-Ala". It matches the Rfam family "tRNA", at positions 1 to 62 of the family's 71-position model. Rfam says of the family: Transfer RNA (tRNA) molecules are approximately 80 nucleotides in length. Their secondary structure includes four short double-helical elements and three loops (D, anti-codon, and T loops). The record is from RNAcentral. Lineage: Eukaryota; Metazoa; Chordata; Mammalia; Rodentia; Muridae.